Molecule: long non-coding RNA, 745 nt
Organism: Daphnia carinata
Lineage: Eukaryota; Metazoa; Arthropoda; Branchiopoda; Diplostraca; Daphniidae
Exons: 5
Source: RefSeq, a predicted model, not a curated record
AAAUAGUGACAACUGAAGUGAUUCCCGGAACAAAUACUUGAAUUUCAAUUGUCACAAAGCAAACAAAUUUGGACUUUGUGUCGUGCAACAAAAUCUUUUCUUCUCAUCCCGAUUGUUUCUUCAAGUGCUAUAGUGUUUGACAUACAAGCUUCUCUGCUUUAAUAUGUUUGAGACAAUAAUAGUUAUGUGCCACUUGAAUGUUUUCAAUUGAAUUAACCAUCACCAUCAAUUACCCGAGGUUAGAAUUCUUUUCAUUAAAUUGGCGUAAUCUUCCAGGGUAAACAAGACCUCUAUGAAGUAAAAUUCUUCGAUUUGCACUAGUGGACAGUUUACCGUCCCUGUUUGACCUGGAUAUCUGUUUAAUUGAAAUUUAUCAAGGCUUCACAUCUUUAUCUGCCAGAUGUAACUGAUGAGUAACAUAGCUCAGCCGACACCGCUCGUGAUCCUCGAGGAUUUGCAGUCAAAUUUUACACCGAAGAAGGCAACUGGGAUUUAGUCGGAAACAACCCCCCAUAUUUAUUAUUCGUGAACAUAUUCUCUUUCCGAGCUUUAUUCAUACUCAGAAACGCAAUCCAGUAAUCCAUUUGAAGGACCCUGAUAUGUUCUGGGAUUUCAUAUCUCUUCGACCAGAAACGACUCAUUAAGUUUGCUUUAUGUUUUCCGAUCGUGGGACUCCAGAUUGUUAUCGUUUCAUGGACGGUUACGAAUCGCAUACCUUUAAGUUAGUUAAUGCUGAAGGCAAGCC